CAAUGUUUCAUUGAGUUGAACAGACUGGUGAUACCUUGAGAUGAUGAUCCAUUCUUAACCGUGAGUCAAUCAGUAAGCCGCCAAUGUGUCACAAAUCUCAACAAAGAGUUGUAAUUGAAUAUUUAAGAUUUCAAGACAUAGAUGUAAUACAUUCUGUUCUAACCGUUAAAUUACGAGUUAAUAUGUAUUUUUUCUUGUUCAGAUGUUUAAUUUGCCUUGGUGCUUGUCACAUCGGCCUGUUCUUUUCUACUAUCUUUGAACGUGAUUUAGGACAUUUUUCAUGUGGUGUCAGAAAAGCAAUUUCAAGAAUAUAAGCAAUCACCUAGUCCCUAAUAGUAUUCAAUACAUGCAUAUAAAUACGCACAUACACAAUAAAACUGUGUGCAGGACAUCCAAAAAUGGUUGGAAAUCCAAUUAAUAUGCAUUAAGAAGGAAAAAGACGAGCGGGUAGCCUGGAUGAUUCAGCAAUAGUUAUACAUAAAUUAUUGGAUAUCCGAGAUCGAGUCAUGUUUUUUUCUUUGAAAAAAACCAACCGUGCAACAUCGCACAUUAGAGUUCCAACAAUCUGCGCAUACAAAAAACGACUUUUUCAGUUUAAUCAACUAAGGCUUACUGGUAAAAAAUAACAUCAUAUAAUAUGUUUCCUAUUUUCAUUGAUGUACAUACUUACUUAUAAUGUUAGGUGGAAGGCCAGGAAUCUAAUGAAUAACAUUGAAUGUAUAAUACAUAUUUGCACAUCAUGUUCUCUAAUUAGAAAUUAAAAACACUGAAAGUUUAUCUCUGACCUUCAUGGCAUACUGAUAUCUCACAAAUUCAAUCAUUUUCGUUUUCUUGCGAAGGCAAGUUCAGUAAUUGCUUUGAGACUAUUUUUAUAUAUUUAUUCAUUAUUUGUUAAAUCCAUCAAUUUAGACUGUUGUGUAUUUAUGUCAAGUACACGUGUAUCAUUUAUGUCAGUUCUUCCUAAAUAUAUUCAGCCUUCCUUUGCUGCUUUGGUUGAUAAAGCAGCCUCUCUCCCUCUGCAUGCAGACCCGUCUCUCUUUAUAUAUUUCAAAAUGUGUCAGUCUAUCUCGUUCAAGCUCUCUCCCUUUUCUCCUGCUGGGUUUUCCCGCCAAGGACGUGCUUCCAACUGCAUGAAGGGUGUAGCUUGCGCUGCCGUAAGCGACUUUUUUGAAAAUAACGACCGUGCCGUAGAAGUGGGCUUCACGUGCUUGCACACGCACAAAAAAAACUACACUUAAGAUCAUCACAAGACAAUUUGUCUUCCACACUCGGGCCACCAGAGCUGUUUGCAAAGCUGUCAAAACAAUGAUUCUUUAUCUCGGUUUUUGAUGACAACUGUUCCUCUUGAUGAGUUCUGAGCGAUAUGCAAUGAAUAAGAUGCACAUCGUGACUGUGUGCGUGUGUGUUACCGUGUGCUUCUGAAGGAUGAGGUGGUGGGAGAGAAGAGACGCGAGGGGGCGGGCUGAGCAUUGUAGUGGCGCAAGUCGUGCGUAAAAAACGCUUGUGGGGGACAGUGGCUGUCAGAUGCAUCUCCGGAGUCAAAUUUAAGAUCGAUGUAACAUGACGAGCAGAUCCUGGUGUCAAGUUGUACCAACAUGUGAUCAACACAACAAUUUAUCCAACAAAGACCUUUUGGCUGUGGGUUUAUGCUUAAAUAAUAUACUCUUACAAAUAGUUUAGAUAAGGUUCCUUUUGAAGCAUCAAGCUUUUGACAAGAUUUGUGCACCGAAGGACUCAGUACAGUCGAAUGUUGCUCCUCUGUUCCAGCUCAUCGGCAGAAUUUAAAAAUGGCGGGAUGUGCCCUUUUGACCUCAGCAUCUACCGCACAGCUCGCCAACUAUAAUAGCUGAAUGAAAAUCUUUGAAAGGCAUUAGAUUGUCCAGUGGGGACAAAUCCUAAACAUGUUGAUGGGGUAGAUUUUACAGUCGCAGCAAACAGGUACAUUACUUUGUGUGAUUUAUGUACAUCCAAACGGCAUCACUGUUUUGAGCGUGCAAACAGUUUCAUUCCUUCCAGAGCUCAUAUAAUGGGUUGCAGUCUCUGAUAUUAAGAUCUGUCAUUUUCACUUCAUUCAAUACAGUGGUACAAGCUGUGACGGAAAUAAAUAAAUCACGAGGUACCCAUAUAAGAUAGAAAAUAUCAAGAAGCAACCUUGGCUAAAGCUGCAGAUUCAGUUCAACUGGACAUUUUUUCACACAUUUAAAAAAAAAAUCCCCUCCUUCCUCUGGAAUUGCAUCACGACCUCGAGAAAAAUCAUCCAUCCAUAUUUAUAAGACCUUCUCCGUGACAAGAGUCAGUCGGAAGGCAGAGGCAGGGCCAGAAAUGGGGACGGCCUUGGACAAAAGGUCAACCUUGUGUAAAUCCCUUAUUCCAAAAUGUACAGGAACGACACCAGAGUCCGUCCCCCCCCCCCCCCUGCAGUCCCUUCGUCCAAAAUCUCAUCGAGCCUUGUUGAUGUUCAAGAACAAUAGGCAAUCCCAUAGGAAUGUGGAAAUGAAUAUGAUGAAUAGCUCAAUGUUUGGUAAGAAAUGCUCAAAUUACCAUCUAAAUGACACUGUUGUAGUAAUUAGAAUGGUAACAGCAGCUGUGAUCAAUGAGAUAAUAUGUCCAUUACAAACACGACAUCUCAUGGAGAAAUAAUGGGGAUCAUGUACUGCAGUUAGCGGUUAUGAUGUCCUUUGUGAAUCGGAUAAUUAGAGUAUGCAUGGUCCAAUGACAAUGCAGCGGAGCUGUACAUCGGACAAAACAAAAAUUGACGAGGCUGCGGCAAUUGUUGCUCUUCUGUCUGAUUUAUAAUGACAACGGGGCCGAGCGGCUUAUUAGUUAAAGGACGUUCCUACUGCCUUCCGCGUCACUCUCCUCCUUCCUUCCACUGGAGGUCCUGGGAUCUCAGGGCGGCCUAAAGCCCCUCGGUGGGUGCUGCAACCUGAUCUCGCGCUCACCUUUCGGCAGAAGGGGAGUAUUCAGCAGCCGGGGCAGAUAACACAUCCGUGCCACUCAAUACCUUUGUCUGGUUGGCUUCUGUUCGGGCCGGUGAUCCCUGUCCAACUCAAUCCGCUUCUAUUGUUAACGGCAGGAAUACUACAGCAGCUCUGUGACGGACCGCGAUGUUGUAUCCGCUCACUCCCACUAGCUGUCUCUCUUAGUGGCAUUUUAUAACCUUUGUUUCUCUUGCGUGAUGAUUCUCACUUGAAUCACCCAUCCUUGGCUCUUCUUCUUCUACUUCUUUUUCUCCCCUCCUCCCCGGGUGGUCUGCCUUAUUACUCAGUGUCCUCCUCUCCCGUACUUCUCCAUGUCACUUUCUGGCCGUCACUUGCUGCCCACGUUGUAACUCGCACCGUUCUGUCCGCGGCCUCGUCAGUCCGCUGUUUGUUUAGCGUGCCAAGUCAUUUUGCUCCAUUUUUGUGUUUGACGGAGCAGGAACAUUGACAGGCGACAUGGAAGUUUACUUACCCCAGACAUGAGUAGCCUGCAGGCACAAACAGAAACCAUCAGAUUCAUAAUAUGCCUGUGUCUCCUGGGCUCGGUUUAAAACCACGGCAAAAGGGGGAUUAUCUUUUUUUUUCUGCACAAACACGGCAACAUGCUUCACUAGUGCGCUAAGAGCUGUGGACAGGCAGCUUGUAGUCAGUCAUCCUUAAAAGAUUUAAGAUGUAGUUGGUCAGAUUUUUAUGUAAAAAUAAACUUUUUCAGACAACCUAAAGCGGGACAGCCAAAAGACGUAUUUCAUCCUCUCCAACUGCAUCCUGUUAAAAUCUGUGUUAAAAAAAAAUUAAACCAGAAAAAGAGAGAAGGCAAAAUGGUUUCUUUUAAUACAAAUUGGCAUAGAAAUAAGCAUUGUUCUGACUACAUGUGGCUCUUUAGUCUGUUCCAAAAUGUGACAGAUUCGAAAGAACAUUGACAAGACAAUUGUCAAAAAACUGAAUUUGUUUUGUAUUUUGUAUAAAACAACUACACAUUUAAGAACGAAGCACCCCUGUUUUUUCUUCUGACGGAUAUGAAAACAUAUUCUUUGACCAUCAAUUGCAGUUAUUUUCCUCUCCAAACUGACAUCCACAUGAUACCGCUAGGAGCUGUAACCGGUGGCUGCCUGUGAUGUUUGCAAUAGAUCUAGUUCUGCACAGGGGUAACGUGAGUUUACAAGUGCAAUGGGAACAGAGGCCAGUUUAUUUUGAAUCAUCUGGUAUGUUAGAAUAUGAUUUACUGUUUGAUUAUUCAUUAUACUUGCUUUGUUUUUCGUUUUGUUUUCCCCCGACGUCUCUUGUUGUUGCACUAUCCCCUUUGCUGCUGUAAUCCUGCAAAUUCCCCACUGUGGGACUAAUAAAGGAUAAUCUUAUCUUAAUCUUUUUUCAUCUUAUUCAUCUAAUUUGCUCUGAAAUGAGAGGACCUCUACCAUAUUGCUCUCUCUGAAAGUAAACCCUGCAUUUAACAAUAUAUUUAGUUCAUGCCUUUGCUUACAUUAAUCAGUCAACUUAACGUUACAUUAUUUAACGAUAUCAAUUAUACAGUUGCUGCAACUGGAAGCUUUGUGACAUGGAGACCAACAGGAGGUCAAAGCAGAGGUUCGGUUGAAGAGGGUUACGAUGCACAACGAACAAAUAACCCGAGGUUGGCUCUCACAGCGAGACGGGGCGAUGCGAGGCGGAGUGAGUGAAAAACCAGAAAGUGGAGCACAAUACAGAGCAGACAAUUUGCUAUGCAUCAAAUACGCAGUCAUAGAUUUGUUCAGAUGCUUGUUCAUAACCUGUCCUACUCUCAAGCUGCUGGCGUUAUUGUUCAGGCUCACCGCAGUCAAUAAUGCCAAGACAUCCCUCGGGCCGAGAUGGUGUGUUUGACAUGCAGUUGGGAGGGGGGGGGCUCAUCUUGUUUGCCGUGCAAUGUCCAGUGCGUCUCUUUAGGAGAAUUCGCUCAAGCACGUUGCAACGUGAACCCUAAAAGUGAUGAACUGGUCCUCCAUCUUCUCACAUCUCGCCGUCGCUUUCAGGCAAAUAAUGACACGACCGUGGGCACUUAUCCUACUCAUCAAUUUUCCAUCUGAAGGGCGGCCUGAAAACUUCAGAUCUGCUUUUUUUUUUACUUCAACAUGCGGCCGUGCUUCACCUUGACACUUUUUGUUUGUGUCAGGCGUACGCUUAACAAUCCCUGGCUGCCUUCUUUCUUUCCUUUAAACAUCGCUAAUCAUCACAUUGGCUGUUUGAUCAAUCGCGUGCUGUUGCUGUGACUAACAGAUGACCCUGCAAAACCCCAGAUGGCCACACUUUUAAUAGUUUAGUUAGUUUAAUAGCUGGUUCUGGCAUAUUUAUAGCUCAUUUCACUUUGCGGUCCAGCCCCAAAAACCAUUUCUACCCCAAUUCACUCGCUUUGCCUCCGUCUCCUUUUCCUCUUCACACCUCUUACCACAACCACCUUGAAAGUAUAAUUGAGGCAGGGAUAUCGUCAGGCCGGGCUUUGUAUCCGCACGGGAAGCAAGCGAGGAAGUAGCGAGUGACACAGAGGUGACCUCCACUGGCACAGAGACCAACUACCUCCUGAGCCAUCCAAAAUGCCCAACACAAAUUAGGUGAUUAAAUUAGCAAGUCGUGCUUUUAAUGUAUAGCAGAGUUUUGCGCUCGUGGUAUUUCUUUUAUUAACGGCAAUACAUCACAUUCAUUUCCUUUGCCUGUUCAUUCCUCCUCCUCAUCUCAUCAAAUGUAUGACAUUGCAUAUCUUCUAUAGUGCCUUCUAUGAAAUAAUUGCAGAUAACACAAUACAAUUAAACCUUAUUCCAUUUCAAUUCCUCUUGUGAUCCUGCCUAUUGACAAAAAACGUGCAAUCAUGACAAGUCAGUACAUCCUCAUACAAUUUUCCUGUGAAAGAAGUUAAACAGCAUUUAGAUUUUGGUCAAGGUCACAGUGGUCAAUUGAUCACUGCUAAAGCAACAUCCAACACUCCUCAUCGAUAUGGAGGAAGAGAAGCAGAGAGAGAAAUAUACAGGGAGCAUGGAUGGAUAAAAAAGACACAGGUUGCAAGAAAAUAAUAAAGUCACACAUCUGAAUAUCUUUAUCAUAUUAUUUUCUUGCAACCUGUAUUAUCGUUGGCUCUCUAAACUUACUAUGUCUCGUGGCUGAAAUUAAACAUUAUUUUUAUUCACUUUGAGAAUGGAAAGUUAUCUUCCAUUCUAGAUGAAGCCCUGAUAGAUAUAAGCAUUCAUGGAAGUUGACAACGGCCAUUGCACUGAGGGCAUUAGAAGUGGCAGCUUGUCAAACAGCCCACUGGGGUAAAAAAGCAGCAAGUUAAUAGAGGAACAGAAAGACGGGGGCGAAGGGGGGUGGAGGCAUAAGCCGUGAGGGCAACCAGCAGGUCAGCAGAAAGGACAAGUUUCCACUUUGCCUUCCUGCUGCCCUUCAUUUUCCACCUCCUCAUCUUCCUAUUUUAAAUUAAUUACCGUUCAGGACAUGAGAGGAGUACGGAGCGCUCUCGUUAAGCAACAACAAAUACCCAGGACAUGAGAAACUUAAUUACCUGGGGACCGGAGGUUAUUCUGGUGCCAAGGAGAGUCUCUACCUCUUAACAAGGGCUUUGCCCUCGAGGAUAUGAGCGCAGGAAAUGUAUGAUUCUGCGGUGUUCCAUUUCUAUUCAUACGCAUAACUUUUUCUGCAGGGAUUUUCCCUACAUGUAACUGUACUACAUAUUUGCGUUUCUUACCAUUAUUCUCGGAAAAAUAUUCUCUGAAUUGGUUUCUCAAUCUUUGGCCUGUGCCUCCGUUGUGUGUAGUAUUUGGGUGUUUUUAAUUAAUGACAUCCCUCACGGUGUCUGCCUUAUUCACUUAAUGACACCCCCUCCCCCUCCUGUCCGCGCGAAUGCUGGACUGAUGAUGCUCCUUAACGUCUCAGUAAUUAUUCCACGGCUCUUUAAUUCUGUCUCUAUUCUAUCCCUCUCCUCUCUUUUAUGUCAUGUAUUCAUCACCAUAUUCACACGGUUUGCCUUUGAGCAGAACAGCUGAUUAGACCGGGUUCUCUCUGCAAAGGCCCUAAUCUGCAUAGGCCCCAUUGCGGAGCCAUGUGGAGUGCCACUGUGAUGAAAGUCUGUGUCACUGGCAUAUGCGCAAAACACAAGUAACAACAACAAAAAGACUUCUAAGACAUUUAAGCUAACGGCCCAUUCCUUAACAAGCCAGCACUGCGUCCGUUUCCUCCAGAAUCAGCAGCGGUAGUGAGAUAUUCAAGUCAACAACGUGUCCCUGUGAGAGGGAAGCAAACAAAUAGGAGAGUAAAAGGCUUGAUGCAAAUGAAAUGUUGUCUACGCUUUUGGGUGUGUUGUCAAUAAUUGACAAUAUUUGCUGAUGUCUCCCAACGACUGGGAAGUCGAGAUGUGCCGGAUGGGCUUAGGAGAUGUGCCGAGGGAUUUCGGUAAAGAAAUGGGGUGCAGAUAAAUUUGUCCCACCCCCAGCCCAGUGCUCCCCCCACACACCUUUACAGACACUUCUCUCUGCAUUCUUUACCUUAUUGUAAUCACGUUACCUAUUAUUUAAACUCGCCCCUCCCUCUUAAUACAAUUGCCUUUCUAUUGUCCUCCAUUCAUCAACCUCUCUCUCCCCGCUCAGCCUGGAUCUCUGCAUGUUCACAGAUUUACACAGCAGUGAUCUGUCCUUUGCCUCUUUUCCUCUGACCAGGCGCAUGCAGGUCAUUCCCACUUUUACAACCCACAGAAUGGCCUCUCUUCUCACAAUACAAAAGCCUUUCUAAUUGGUGAGCUGUGCUUCUAUUUAAUUACCUGGGAGAACAUAUAUUCUGCUGUUGCUGCACAAAGCUUCCCUUUUUCUCUCAAAGUUUUCCAUUUCUUUCGUCGUUACUGACCUGUUGUAAUUUACGACAUCCUCCUAAUUUACACGAUAAUUCAAUGAACCCCAAAUUAACCUGGCCGGCAUUCACCCCAUUAGUUCGCUGUGCUCCCCCACUCUGUUGUCUCAAUGAUUAAUUAUCAAUGCCCAUGAUGUGGAUCAGACGUUGUCAGCGGAGGACGCCGGUGUCAUUCAGUGUCUGUGUCCACCAGAGCACAGCAGCCGCAUAUUAGCGACAGGGUUGACGGGUAAAUUACAGGCGAUUAAGAUCUUGUAAUCACAUCCCCUGCCUGUAAUAUUGUCACAAUCAUCUCCUAAGUAAGAGGAUAGUUCGUGGGGGCGGGGCUAUGGCGGCAGUGGGGGUUCGGGUCUAUAACCUGGUACCGUUGUACCAAAGAUAACUAACUGCUCCUUGAAAAUGUCCUGACUGUGCCUCUGGAUUUACCUCAUCAUCGUCGUAGGGUGUCCACCUCCCCCCAUGUCAUGCCACAUAAGCCUGCAGGUAGUGGUUUAAUUGUGUUUUUUUCAGCAGAUGGUUAAGUGGAGACGGCUGCCUGUGCAGUCAAAGGCUACUGUAAUAUGCAAAUUACAUCCCUUAAUAAUUGGUCAUGCAAUGAGGGCUUUUCUGUAAAACGACCCAGACUAUUAAAGUGCUUUGACAUGACCGGGAAGGCAUUGCUUUUGCUCCUGUGUGCCACAAAGUUGCAGUUGUGUCAGAGCUUUGAUCCAAAGACUGGCCAUAAUUGAUCUUCUUUGAGAAGUUGUCAAGUGGCUCUUAUUUGACAAGCCAAUUGUUCCACUCCCUGCCUGCCUGUGAUAGUGAGCAUUACUCGUAUCACUGUGGCCAGCUUGACUUGGACAUUAGAAUGGCGAGUAGGUUUUUAUCAGGCACACUCCAAACAGUUAUCCACCGGCACAAAAACACACACGGGAAUAAAACACUUGCUUUAUCGCUUCAGUCAGUAAUCCUCAGCCACGGUUGUCUCUGCAAUUUGCUUCGCAUAAAACCAAGGUCUCUCUUCAUGUGUUCAAUUGAGUCGACAAUGUCAACUUAUUUUGCUUUGACUCUGCGAGCGUUGUAACAUUUAGGAAAGGACUAUGGUUGCCUGUCAAUUGAAAAGCUUGGUUCAAUUCAUUGGUUUAGCUGACGUUUUGCAGAAUUUCCAACAGGUUUGAAAGAGGAGGGCUCCUAGAUUGGGAAAAUUCCUAAAAGCAUAUAUUUUAUUUAUCUCUUUCAUGAUAUACGUCUUUUCUAAAAGUCACAUGUGAAGCUUUUGUGGUAUCUUUAUUGUAUUCUACUGGGGUCGUGAUAGGGAAAGAGAGGCCAUGCAUCAUGUCCCACUGAUAAUCAUCUUGAUGUCUGAAUCUUGUCAUUCCUGAAAGAUAUUUUUAAAAUGUCUCCUCAGUCAGGAGUCAUUUUUGCUCUUCCAUUAAAUCUACUCUGGUUUUCAUUAAAACAAGGUAUCUUUGGUGUACAUGGUCAAAUUAUUUGUUAAAGAUUGUAAUGUUUUUGUUUCAUUUCGAUUAUACAUGGUCCAAUUCAAUUUCGCCUUUACUAACUACUAUACAGUCCCCAAAGACAAAAUGUUAAUUGACGUCUUAAAUCAACCAAAUGGGCGUGCGAGUUUGAUCGUUGGUUCUAGACUCAUCACCCAUUCUCCGCAUCCAGACUGGCACAGCACCAAUAUCCAUCCUUGACCCUGAAUCACAGCCUCCCCCCCCUACACAUUAGUCAACAUGCUGUCUCUAAGAAGAACAUUGUUUGCCUCGCAGUGAACCUCCUCCAGCAAGUCUGCCUCUAAUCCAACAGCAAACCAUCUUUGAGUGACUGCUUUUGAUUGCCGAAGUAAUUUAUUGAUUUGUUUCCACUCCCAAUAUAUCAUACAAAAAUCCCCAACACCCUUUGCAUCGAGCAGAUUUUGUGAUGGUCAAAUUUAUUGAUUAUAACCUUUCCCAAAGGGGUGUCUGAUAGUUUAAUCAAUCAGUCCAGGGCUUGGGGUCAAGUCGCAGUAAUCAAGAGCGUAUUGGAUUAGUAACCUAAGGGAUAGACUACAUCGGUUUGUUCUGUGGGUGUAUUAACAAGGUAGAGGUGUGGGCAGUCUGGGUCAGAGGAGCAAUUAGAUUAUCAAGAAACACAACGUCAAGAUUGUAUCUGAGUCACGCUGGGAUGUUUGGCUCCAGGGCAGUUGUUGCUGAGCUGCGUUUACUGGCUCAUUGUGGCUGAGGUCAGAGGCCGUGGGUGCUUUCCUUCACUUUGUCAGGUCCUUGAGUAUUUUUAGAAGAGGUAUGUACGAGGGUAUUUUUUUUUGAAGAUACACUUGUUCAUUUUUAAAGAGGAUGGACAAUAGACACAUGGCUGAGACCCUUUAAACAGCAUGCAUAUGCAUAAACCUCACUAGAUGGCACUGUUCCCACUUUGCACGACCCAGCCAGUCAGUUGAGGGAAGCGCAUCCCUGCAGACCGACGAGGCUUUCUUAUCUCGUAUUGCAUUCCCAUCUAAGCAAAUCUCAUGGCAAAAUCUGAUCAAAUGUUUGCAAGCAGGUGUGCUUGGAAAUGUUUCCUCCAGUUUUGUCAGAUCAUGGUGAAAGGGCCUCGAAGUUGGAUAAUCGCGAUUCAAUUUCCCCAAAAUGAAAGCUAACAACGCCGUGUAAAGGACAUCAAUCUUUGACUGUUUUGACAACAGGGGAACCGAUUAUAAAACCCUUUUUGUUUAGAGUGACACGGUGGCUAUUCUUUUCAGUUGACCUACAGAGAUGAUAUUAAUAUUCUGUACUAAUCAUUCAAGGCAAAAAAUUGCUAUACACCAAAAUGACAGUGCCCGAGCAAGCAGAAGGUAAAACAGGACAGGAGAGAAAGGUGGGUAUUAGGGGAGGGGGGGGGUGUAUGACUGCAGUGGUGGUGAGGAUCAGUGCUCAUGCAGCAAACAACCUUUUGCUUUUCCUGCCAUCAUUGGGACCCACUAUCUGCAUGGCUGGAAGGCGUGCAAAGAGAGAGCAGGAGAGCAAACAACCCACACCUCAAUGCGCCUCGGCACUUUGAGCCAUACAACACACCUGCUCCACUGUUUUGGAGCACAAGAGAGAUAAAGAGCAGUAGACAGAGAGAGGGAGAGAGAGAUAUUCCAGAGGACAUCUCCCAUUCCAAACAUGCCAGGUGACUCUUCUUUUUUUCUCUUCUAGGGAGUAUCUGACAGCCCCACUCUUAAGGGCUUAUAAGCCGGUCAUGUUCACUUGAGUUCAUAAGCGUUAUAGGAAUCCAAUUUUCCUCUCUAGAUCCAUACCAGUAGUACAUUGCAGAGCUUAGAAACCUAAAGUUUUUUUUAUUAUAAAGUUGGGGAAAGUGUGCUUCCCUACUCUUUGAGUGCGGGGCAACCUCCGGUGCACAGAACAUUCUCUACCUGUGCAACCUCAUAUAGUGGUAGAUUUGCUGGCAUUGCUUUACAAAUCACUAUCUGCCACUAUCAGUCAUGCAUGCAAAUAGAGAAAUACACGCAUGCAAAGCGUGCAGAUUCUACUCACGGUUUCACCCGGGUGUCUCACAUGCAUUAAUAAUUUCCCACAUACAUUUCAUAUGCCUACUCUCACAUAAUCCUAUUAACCAGUCUGCAGAAUAUAGGCCACACAUAUACAGUAUACACAUACACCUGCCCUCUUUUGGGAUUAUCAUGCUUGACGCCUCUCAGACUGAAUGGCUUGUUUCACACCGACAGAAUUGUGAUCUCCGUCUCAGUGUGCUUCUGAGAGGCAACAGAACUUGCCAUCGCCCUGCGCUCACACUCACAAUCCCUUAUGCCUAUUGUGUGUAUGUAAAUCUGUGCCUCGGCGUAAGUGCAUCUCAGAAAGGGUGAGUGAGGCAAACAGACGGAGGCAGAGAGAGAGAGAGAGAGAGAGAGCACGAAAGAAAAUGAGUUCUGCUUAUGUAAAAGAAGCCAAAUCCAGGUCAGACGGCACAUUCUUCAUCAAGCACUGCUUUCGUUUUUAUACUUUGACUAAGAUGCAUUUAAUGGAUGAUUUACUAGUUUUUAAAUUAAAGUAAUUUAUCAAGCAAAAAUGCCACUCACUCUACAAAGAUGUUUCCAACGUGAGGGCUGGCAUUUUCUUUUUUAAAUACUGCAUUUAUUCCCUAACGAGACGUUUGAAGCGAUGUCCUCAAUGUCCUCAAAUAUGUCAAACUACUAAUCUUGCAGCCUUGACAUCUCAUAACAGUAAUACCAAGCAGAGACACUAUGGUAAACUGCUCAAAAGGGUUUUACUUUCUUCAUUCCUAGGCUCCAUUCCAUCUUCAUUUACAGUAAUAAUAAGCCAACUAUUAACUUAACAACAGCGCAGGAAUACAAUGAAUUUGUCCGGUCAAAUAACGCCGCUAUUUAUUACAUCACAACAUUUGAAAAAAGGUGUAAUCUAUUGUUGUGGUCAGUACUUUCUCCUUUUUUCUUCCACUCUUCCACUCAAAUGCAGAUACUUUAAUACCACAGAGGUACAUGAAACACAACCUUCAAGACCUACCGUAGGCAUCGUAUCAAAAGCAUGGAAUUCAUUUUUUGUUUCAGGUAAUUGCUAUUUCCCUAAAAACAUCUUGGUUUUCCUAAUGCCAUCUCCGUCCUCUGAGAGCAGGAGUGACCCGGAGUGGUCUUCUUGGUAACUCUCCAGCAUGUUUAUUCUGGUGAGAUGGGAUAUAACUGUGUUUAUGAUGCUAUAAAGACUUUUUGGCCGAAGCCCUUGCUGCCCACAGCGUGUCUUUAGGCCCAUCAUAAAAGCCGGAAUGGGUUCUGCCCUUGGAAAGGUACUACAAGUAGUGUGUGUGUGUUAGUUGGUGUGUGUGUGUGUGUGUGUGUGUGUGUGUGUGCGCCCUGUUUUACGUUAAGUUGAUCGUUACAGGAGCUCAGGUUUUCUAUAGCUAUCUUUAUGGUUACAAACGCAUCACUUGGACUGCUUGAUUUUGAAAACCCAGUCCCUCUAAAAAUGAAUGGGUUUUUUAUAUUGUAUUAACAGCAACUUCUCGAGUUGCUUACAGUAUACAUCAGCAUGAUUAGUGUACAGUGACUAUUAAAGUGAUACACCAUCCAAAGCCUCCCUUUAGAAUAUCAAGCACGGUUCGCCCUGUAGCAUAAAGAAUAGUAGAGCUGCCAGGGGAGACGAGUCUUAACAGCAAGAAAAAGUACAUUUCUUUGCUGCAAAUGUAGUGUGUCCUUCGUUACUGUAAAAUCAGUUCAUCGUCCCCUUUUUUAGACUUUAAGGUCACCCGGACAAUGAUUGUUUAGAGCGACGACGAGGGAGAAUUUGUCACUGCUGCAAGGACAUUUUUUCAAUUUCAAUUUUCUACUACGAAAACUUGACAUCUUUUGAUUCCAACCAACAUUUAUUUACUACUUCUUGCAGAAGAAAAAGCACGUUCCAGAUAUAUAUAUAUAUAUAUAUCUUGUGCGUUGUGACGUAUUGCUUGAACUGUUUACUACUGAACACCUUCCAUUAGACGAUGGAACAACAGAGAAAAGGUUUUGCUGCUGUCACAGGGUGUUUAUAACGGCUCAUAACUCAGCAGCUCCAAAGUGCUCACAAGAUCUGCUUUCUGAGAGCAAUUCAAACGAGUGAACUUUUGCACCGAGCAGUAAGAAGGGUCAAAUUAGCUGAAAGAAAACAAGUGGCAUCCCUGUAAUGUCAAUACGACAUCCUCCCGCGCGUCAUCCUCCUACGCGGGCAUUUUUUUUCUUCUGUAAACGUGGCUGUGUGUGCACAUGUACUCCCACUGAUGCGCGGCCAUGAACAGGUGGGUGGCUGGCGGUGGGCGCCAUCAAUCCAAGCCGUGCGUGUCUAUGAAUAUGUGGGUGUGAGUCACCGCGUUCCCGUGUAAUGUGCGUCAGGCUUGCCCCGAGCGCCCCUGUUUCAGGUUGGUCUCAUUACAAAAGGUAAUUCCUCCGGAGCAACAGCUCGGUGAUGGCAGGAGAUGGUGAUGAUCCUUUAAUAGCCCCCCUCAUUGCCCACUGGCCAGAUCCUAAAAGCUGAUUUGCCUACUGCGGCUGCCACUGAGCCGAGAAGAUGAAUAGAAAACUAACCAUCAUUAUAUCUGCGAUAGAAAUCAAAUAAGAUCGCCCAUAAUCUACUUCUCAGCUUCUUUUGUUUCUUUUUCAAACCAUCCGUUGCUCAGUCCGUACAUCUAUCCCCCGGCUCCAUGUUUCUAUCCCUCUGCUUUCAUGACUUUCUGCUGCUUUUCCCUCCCUUCUUAUUGUUUUGCUUGUCUUAUGUGGCUUUGUAUCAGGGCUCAAUUUUUCCAUUUCUACACUUCAAAAGAAGUCUACUGAUUGGAUUUUUAUUUUUUGGGGCGUUUGGAAGUAAUGAGGGAUGACGCCAUGUGAGUUUUCAGGGAGCAGAGCCUCGACAGCCUUGCCUUGUGGCGAAUGGGAAGGGGGCUGAAUGGAGGAGCUCGGCUAAGUGGUCAAGAGGAUGUGUGAGCGUUUGCGUGCAUCGGGGUGUGUUUAAGUUUCACAAAAAGCUUCAUCAAUCUUGUGCAUUUAACUGGGGCUUUUAUCGCCUACAUUUCAAAGAAAACAAUGGUAAAUGUGGAAAUUGAUUGUGUGUUUGUGUGCACUCUGGUGUGUGUGUGUGUGUGUGUGUGUGUGUGUGUGCCCUAAACCCCCUGUUAUCUGAAGUGAGAAAAGCGAGGAAAUCGAGAAAGGGCCAAAACUCCACUCUAAUCUCCUCCACAUAUGGUCGGGUUUCUCACAUAUCCCUGAUACGAUUUAUAGGGAUUAGUUUGCCCCCCCCCGAAAUCGUCAGAGUGUGGAAAAAGUGCCGUGUGGAGGGUCCUUUAAUCUCUUAGCCAUCGGCACUGUUGACACGACAGGGCGAUAGUGAGGAAGUCAGACCGCUUCUGUUUGAUUUGGAAGGAACAACAGUGUCCAGGAAUUGUGCUUAACACACACGGGGGGACUGGAUGAAGGUCGUGUUUACACCGGGGAGUGACCGUGCAUAUGUAUAUGGGUGGUUAUGUGAUUGUUGCGGGGAGGCUGAGCCUUGGCCGAAGUCCCUUUUCCCUUCCAUGUAUCACUCUCACUACAUCCCCCGCUUUCCCCCUCCGUGUUCCAGUCGCUCCCCCCUCUGUCAGGGGAUGUUCGUCUAAAUAAUUCAGCCGCGAUCCGGGCCAGUCUUUAAUCAGAUGUCGCUGCUUCCCGUCUCCGACAGGGCGCUCAACACAUUAUCAUAAUCGUCCGUUUCUUCAGACUUGUUCAGCCAGUUGCUAAAGUUUUGGGACAUUUGAGUUAAGCUUAAAUGACGCUUCACAUGUUGGCUGAUGGUAUUAAUGCUUUUCAACUCUGAUGUACGUAACGUCAUCGGACUCUAAAUGAUCCUUUUCACGCCAGCCUGACAAGUUAAAGGAUGUAAAGCCUAGUCUAUCAACCAACAUUUGAAUGGCAUUAUUUAAACUAAUCAAAAUUCUAAACAGCUCAACAAAUGCCACACUUUAAUUUUGAGUCUCUCUCUCUCUCUCUCUCUCUCUCUCUCUCUCUCUCUCUCUCUAUAUAUAUAUAUAUAUAUAUAUAUAUAUAAUACACUAAAUAUAGUGCAAAAAUAUGCAAAAUAUGUACAAUAACGUAUAGGGUUAUAUUUUGGGAAUAAAUUGCUUUUUUAAGGUAUUGACCAAAGUAGGCUAACCAAGUUCAACAACAUUCGGAGUGGAUCAUCUGAUCUUAACUGUACAUUUAUUGUUCUCAAACCUUUUAUGACACAACAUGAGUCACUUUGACUUUGAUUUCCUUAAACCAGUGUUGGAAAAAAUAACAUUUGAACUCAAACACAAUUCUCUGACAUGAGCAAACUCCAUCUGUUGAUGCAAAAUUACGCAAAGCUCAGGAAACAAAUGGAUCUUGAGUUGAGAUUGUUUUGCGUACGCGUGCAGAGAUGCAUGUGUGAACAUAACAGACAUUUUGAUGGACCUCCUGUGUGCAAUAAUUCAGCUGAUAUAUUAAUGCAAUACAGUGGUUUAAAAGACUCUUACGUGAACAUCUGCAGCCCAUUUUCUUAUCUUUAGUCUGAUACACUGUAAAAGAGAUCCAGCCGGCUCGCUAACGAGUUAAAACUGCACAAAAUUCACCACGGCUCUGCUGCCUGAGGCGAGGAGGAAGCAGUGAUGGAAUUCUACCCUUAUCAGUCAGUCUCCAUAGGGGAAUACAGUGCACAUAGGGUAUGCAGACGGGUCGGGUGAAGUGAUUUGUCAGGGGCGACAUGUCCUGGAAACAGAUUUGUUUGAAGGUGUCAAUGUGCAAUCGGUCGCACGCGGUUUUGUGUGCGUGCACGUGUGUGUGUGUGUUUGUGUGCGUGCGUGCUGGGAAAGCUCGGUGGUCUGCAGUUUACCCCCACAGUUGCUUGGCAGCUUCACUCCACUUUUAAUUAGAGAAAAAGCUUCGGCAACAAAGUUCGCAACUAAGAGAGUGGGGUGAGAGAAAGAGAGAGCGGGAUUUGCAUCGUAAACUGAACCAGCGGAUUCAUUCAGGCGAAAUAAAAGUAUCGUUCAAGGUCGGUCUUCACCUGAUUUUGGAAGGAAAAUAAAACAAAUAUGAGAUACCUUUGGCAUGUUUCUCCCUCAUGUUAGACUCUGGACACAUUUAUAGGUAACCACACACAACAGUUAAAUCUAUCUAUCUAUAUAUAUACAUACAUACAUACAUACAUACAUACAUACAUACAUACAUACAUACAUAUAAAAGCAAAGAGCAUUGGAAAGACAGCAUCAGACUGUAUGAAAAAUUGAUAGUGGGACUGUACGUGGAACGGUACAGUACAGGUAAAAGUUCAAGUAAAACAUUAAUGGGGAGAACUAUUAUGUUAUUUAUGAGCAUGUCGUUUGACAAAACCUUAUAUGAAUGCUAAACAUCACUAUUUUUGUUUGUCUUAUUAUUUGAGAUGAAGCAUUCUUUUGUUAGUCCCAGUUAUUUUCCACAGCAGCAACAUGACACCUCAUAUUUGCUGCCUGACAUCGUAAAUUAAACACAAUGGAGUAACGCAGGUAACAUUAGCAUCGUUAGCAGCAGAAUAACUACCGUGCAUAGUGGGCUGCGCUGGUCUUCAGCAGCCCUGUAACCAUUCAAUCUGCUCUUCUUUUCCCUUUUUACCCGGCGCUUGGGUGACGUAUUUCCCCAUUUCGUGUUUGCAGUCAUGCUAUUUUUCACACACCUCUCAUCUCCUUUGUGCUCCUUUAAAUCCCCAAUAGUCUGAAAUUUCUCUGGCUGCUUGCGAUUUCUAUUUUUGUGACAGCCACUUUAAAGAGAAACGAAGUCUCACAGAAAUUAGUGGUGUGACCCAAACCGUGAAAACGGUUGUGGUGGUGGCGCAUAAAGUCACACAUUAUGUACCACAAUGGACCCAAUUUUACAGGACCACUUAGUUAGGUUUACAAAGAAAAUAUUGGCUUGGAAAAACUUUGGGACACAAUUUCUUUUAGUCAAUCAACCUUCCAUCCUUCCAAAAAAUAUCUUUCUCACACGGUUGCCAGCUUUCAGUUUUGCAUAUUGUCGUAGAUGCUUUUUAUUGUGUGUGUGUGUGUAUGACAACAAUAAAGCAUCAUAAUCGACUUUUCAAUGGAUGUUUUUCCCCUCAAUCAUUUGUCACCCCAACAUAAUACGCUGUUAAGAGGUUGUGGUCAUUUCAAGUAUUUCUGAGGGAUCAGGCUGCUCUGCCUUUCAUUUGCCGGCCCUCUCUUGUUCCUCACCCCUUUCUCUCCCGGCUCCUCGCUGUCCACUUUCAUUGUCUGCCAGGUACAAAGAAAAGAUAGCUCCUUUUUCGUGUUUCAUGUGUAAAAAUUGGAUGACAUGUGGUGAGUUGUGGAUUAAAGUGAAUGUCAAUCACCUUCCUUUUUAUCCACUCUCCUCCAGGCUCUGCUCCCCUGGUGACGUUACGUACCUGGAGGGAUUUUUCAUUUGGCUCUUUUCUGUCUCUCCCGUCCAUACCCUUGUUCGCAUACACUGCACCACAUGCAAAUUGCAUUUGUUCAAGUAACUGUAGCCCACUUACCAAGUAAAUUUCUUUACCCAUUGUUGCGUUUUUUUUCUUCCUACAACCUUAUCCCAUUCGACUCCUCUGUGGCUCCACAUUUGUCUUUUGCGGAUUUCUCUCACGACACGUCCGUCUGUGGCCCUCCAUAUGUCCCUGCAUCUCUUCCUUACCUUGUUAUAUCGGAGAGCUGUGAAAACUGGGAAGAUGAAAAUCUCUCCUCUUUUUAAGUGAUAAAAAUCACAGAGCCUAUAGGCUGCAGCCAGAGCCACUAAGCUUGGGAG
Molecule: long non-coding RNA, 18087 nt
Organism: Gasterosteus aculeatus aculeatus (three-spined stickleback)
Lineage: Eukaryota; Metazoa; Chordata; Actinopteri; Perciformes; Gasterosteidae
Source: Ensembl